Molecule: long non-coding RNA, 1456 nt
Organism: Clupea harengus (Atlantic herring)
Lineage: Eukaryota; Metazoa; Chordata; Actinopteri; Clupeiformes; Clupeidae
Source: Ensembl
UACAACCACUAGGUCAGAUUCUGUAAUACUUCUACCGCAAUCACAAAGAAUAAUUCUUCUGAGAUCAUUGUUGGGCCUGUCACACACACUUAUCCAGUCUUGGAGGAACGGACGUGUUUGAGGAUCAGGAAGUAGUCACCCUGGAGUACAUCACUUUGGUUGGCCUUCUGACUCUUCAGGCCUGGCUCCUGACCCCCCUCUCAACACAAACUCUAUGGUCCAGUCUUUCUCCCUCCUGUAUACUUUUUCUCUUGUGAAAUCUGGACUUUUCUUUCCACGCGGGAGGCAAAUGAUAAUGUAUUCUGGAAGUGACUUAAGUACUCUCUGACCACCGCCCCUCCUUUUAUUUACACGUUGAUAUACAUGAUGAACGUUUUGUAUUUGUACAAUGAUGUAUUCAAAAUUUACUUUGAAGUUGCAAAAUGUUUUUGUGCCAUGUUUUUAUUUUUACUUCGAUAUAGUUUAUCCCAGACCCCCACACUCCCCACCCCUCCUCACAUGCUGUGUACGUACUUGUCUGGAGCAGAAAUUCCAUAUUGAGUGCGCUCCCCUUAUUCCUCACAGGGCAGUACCAGCCUCCGAGGUGUGAUUGUUCGUCUUCAGAGUAACUUAAUUCUGGAAAACAAGUAAAUUAUCUUAUGUGAAAUUGCCAGAAUGUGUAAAAUGUUCUUUAAUAUGUAUCUGCAUAAUCUGUACACAUUUAUAGUGACCUGACAGGUCCUUGCUGUGCACGUACCUGGCUGUACAGUAAACACACAGUAGCUGGUAGCCAUUGUCAUUGACUCUUGAAUGAUGUUGUUUAUCUUUAUCAUUCAGUGCAGUUAAGAGUUCUCUCCCAACAUGAGCUUAUAGUGAUCCUCAUCUGCUCCUAAAACCCAUGACAAUAUGUUUUGGCACGUAUGUUCCACACACUCAGCAUCACAACGGGAAGACUCUUUGACCUGUGACCUGUGUUAUGGAAUGACAUUCUUACUACCCGUGCCCUUAGUGUGGUCCUUUCUCUAUCAUGAAUAGUGUUCCACAAAAGCACCAUUAAAACCUUAAAGUAUCCAUUACUUUUAGUGUCUCUCAUUUGAUUUAUGACCGCUAUUAAUUUGCUUUUUUGUCUUUUUUUUCCCCUCAUUUGUUAUUUUGCUUUUUUUUUUCUCUGCAAUUGUGUCCUGUAUCAUAACAAACAUGUCUUUUCUGAGAAAAUAUUCUCAACACAAUUAUUUAAACCAUGGAUCUGUAAUGUAUCAUAAUAAACAGAAUGUUUUCUUGAAAUAGGAGGACUGGUUGAUGUAUUUUAGUACAAUUAUUGUUUUGCCACCAUCACUGACUUCAUAUACCUAACAAAAUAAAGACAAAAAAAAAACAUUUACUAGAGAUUAUAAUUGAUAGGGGCUACAUUUUAAUGUUUAGUAAUUCCGGUAAAGACUGUAAUAGUAUGAGUUUUAUAAGGGCCAGUUAAAAUAAC